Arachis duranensis is the source of this 582-nucleotide long non-coding RNA. RefSeq lists it as uncharacterized. Lineage: Eukaryota; Viridiplantae; Streptophyta; Magnoliopsida; Fabales; Fabaceae. The transcript is spliced from 5 exons. The record is from RefSeq and is a predicted model, not a curated record.
AAACGCAGCUGCAAAUCCUUCUGUUGACUCUAUUUUGCAAACCAAAGACUCUGUUCUUGACAAGCUUUAGGAGAUUAAUGUUAAGGCCUCUAUACUUCUUCUCAAGCUCCUCACUUGCACAAAGGCUCAUAUGUGGUUAUUAUUUCCUCCAUCGCCGGCUUCAAUCCUCCUGCUUCUAUGUCUAUGUAUGGAGUGACCAAAACAGCCCUUUUUGGACUUACUAAAGUAGGAUAAUUUUGGUAGACUGCAUGAUAGGGGCAAAGAAACACCCAAAGUAAUGAAGCAACUUGGUUGCCAUCAACAGUUCAUGGACCAGUUCUAAUUUGAAACUUGUACAAAAUGAGACCUUGCUUUCUGAUUGGAAGCAACAACAAGAGCGUGAUGUCGAGAUUAUGAAAGCUCAGUCUAAUGUUGUCAGCAUCCGCACGGCAAAAUAGAUCCAUAUGUUGUGAUACAAUACAAAGGGCAAAAGUAAAGGAGCACAUUUGCUAAUAAUGGAGUGCUGAAAUGGUGACCACAUGCUACCUUGAGGGCUCAAGAGUAUUUUGAUUCAUAGAGACACUAAUCUAUGUUAGAACUUUU